ACGGAAGGCAGCAGUGGGGAAUAUUGCACAAUGGGCGCAAGCCUGAUGCAGCGACGCCGCGUGGGGGAUGAAGGCCUUCGGGUUGUAAACUCCUUUCGCUAUCGACGAAGCCUUCGGGUGACGGUAGGUAGAUAAGAAGCACCGGCUAACUACGUGCCAGCAGCCGCGGUAAUACGUAGGGUGCAAGCGUUGUCCGGAAUUACUGGGCGUAAAGAGCUCGUAGGUGGUUUGUCGCGUCGUCUGUGAAAUCCCGGGGCUUAACUUCGGGCGUGCAGGCGAUACGGGCAUAACUUGAGUGCUGUAGGGGAGACUGGAAUUCCCGGUGUAGCGGUGAAAUGCGCAGAUAUCAGGAGGAACACCGAUGGCGAAGGCAGGUCUCUGGGCAGUUACUGACGCUGAGGAGCGAAAGCAUGGGUAGCGAACAGGAUUAGAUACCCUGGUA
Molecule: ribosomal RNA, 442 nt
Filed under: uncultured Corynebacterium sp.
Lineage: Bacteria; Bacillati; Actinomycetota; Actinomycetes; Mycobacteriales; Corynebacteriaceae
Description: bacterial SSU rRNA
Rfam family: Bacterial small subunit ribosomal RNA
Source: RNAcentral